GUCUACGGCCAUACCACCCUGAACGCGCCCGAUCUCGUCUGAUCUCGGAAGCUAAGCAGGGUCGGGCCUGGUUAGUACUUGGAUGGGAGACCGCCUGGGAAUACUGGGUGCUGUAGGCU
Ribosomal RNA from Monodelphis domestica (gray short-tailed opossum), 119 nucleotides. NCBI's taxonomy places the organism in Eukaryota, Metazoa, Chordata, Mammalia, Didelphimorphia, Didelphidae. The record is from Ensembl.